This 399-nucleotide ribosomal RNA is filed under the name uncultured bacterium. RNAcentral describes it as "bacterial SSU rRNA". It matches the Rfam family "Bacterial small subunit ribosomal RNA", at positions 28 to 427 of the family's 1533-position model. The record is from RNAcentral.
GACGAACGCUGGCGGCGUGCCUAACACAUGCAAGUCGAACGGGGUGAUUCCUUCGGGGAUCACUUAGUGGCGAACGGGUGAGUAACGCGUGAGAAACCUGCCUUUCAGUGGGGGACAACAGUUGGAAACGACUGCUAAUACCGCAUAAUGUUAUUUGAGGGCAUCCUCGAAUAACCAAAGCUUAAUGUGCUGAAAGAUGGUCUCGCGUCUGAUUAGCUAGUUGGUGAGGUAACGGCUCACCAAGGCGACGAUCAGUAGCCGGUCUGAGAGGAUGAACGGCCACAUUGGGACUGAGAUACGGCCCAGACUCCUACGGGAGGCAGCAGUGGGGAAUAUUGGGCAAUGGGGGAAACCCGUAGACCCAGCAACGCCGCGUGAAGGAAGAAGGCCUCGGUUGGU